UCAAUAUAAUUGCUAAUAUACAUUUUGCAUAACCAACAAAAGAAUACAAUUUAUUUUAUAUCAGUAGUAACUCCAUAUCAAUAGUAACUAACUUCAACCUUUAGUACUAACACACUAUCAGCAACACUUUUCCCGCUAACUACCAUGCUUACUUUAGUGUUAGUUUCCACUGAUUACCAACCAAUAGCUUAAUGUAGACUUUAGCACUAUAAUCCAAGAGAAAUAAUACAGAAUGUGGUGUUUAUGCUACAACUAACUUAGCUCUAGCAUGGCCUUGUGACACCUGGAACUGCUCGGUGAUGCCCAAAUGUGCCAUCAGAAGCCAAACAUGAGUCAGAAAUUCACCUCCUUUCCGAAGUUGUUGUUCAUGCUGGAACCCUCUGCAGUGAGUAGCAGCAUAUGCUAGAAUCUCAAUCCAUAGUUGACUCAUGACUUUCCACAUGCGUUCGGUUUCCAUUUUCUUCAAUGUUAACUCAAGCCUGCAACCAUCGAAAAAUAUAUGCUUGCUUUCCAAACGAUACACAUCAAUGUCCCCUUGAUUGUCAAGCUCUUCUGAGUAAAAGCAUAGAGUGGUAGCAAUGUGCCAUAAGAUAAUGCUUUGAUCGAAAUCGACUUUGUUGAUACUCCAUAGCUGAUCAUCACACGCAUUCUUACGGAGAGAAAAACUACCUUUGUGAUUACAUAAUGCUUUUGGAUCAGAGCUGCACCUCAUGAACUCUUGAAAUUGGUUGUAGAUAAGAUUUUUCAGGUUGCUAGAAACUUUGCUGUACGUCUUGUACCGAUGCUUUACGCGAUACUUUUCUAUCCCAAGGAGUUUCUGAGUUGUCAAAAGACUAGCAGGCUUCUCUUCAAGCGCGACACUUAGUAGAUCUAACUGCGCGAUGCAUCCUGACCAUCUUAGUUUAGUUGGUUGCUU
This 916-nucleotide long non-coding RNA is filed under the name Helianthus annuus (common sunflower). Its description in RNAcentral is "sRNA HanXRQr2_Chr14g0623481". Lineage: Eukaryota; Viridiplantae; Streptophyta; Magnoliopsida; Asterales; Asteraceae. The record is from RNAcentral.